Molecule: long non-coding RNA, 596 nt
Organism: Rosa chinensis
Lineage: Eukaryota; Viridiplantae; Streptophyta; Magnoliopsida; Rosales; Rosaceae
Exons: 3
Source: RefSeq, a predicted model, not a curated record
GUCAUUUUUUACUUCUUCUCGAGUUCUUUGCCAACAAUCAUCAUCAUCUCAUUCAUCCGCAAUCAUCAUCAUCUUCCCCAUCUCCACUUCUCUAGAUUCCAAAAUCCCAAAUUCUCCCAUCUCAAAUCUAACAGAUUUGGGAAUUGGCAAGAGCCAAGAAGGAUUUUUGAGUCUAACACAACAAUUUCGUUGGGUUAUAAUAUCAUGGCUCCAAUUAGAAAAUAUUCUUCCGGUGCUCAAAAGAGAAAAGAGAAGCAAAAGAGAGAUGCAUUAGUUAAGCUUCAAGCCGGAUCUCUUAGUAAGUACUUCAACACAAAUAAUAAACAAGCAAAGACUUCAGCUGAUGCAAGUGUACUUGAGAAUGAGAAUGAGAAGGAUGUUGAAGAACAUGAUCAGUUAAUGACUGAAAAUGAGAGUGCAUAACUGAGUCAAGGUCUUAAUGCCAAUGAAAAGGAUGAUCUUAGUCAGCCUAUACAUGAAAGUGGUGGUACAGACGAACCAAAUCUUCCAGUGAAUGAGGAAGAAAAUAUUAUUGUUGAAGAUGAUCGAAACAAAAAUUCAAGUGCAGAAUUUGAAUUAAUAUAAAAUUUUGGUAA